This 985-nucleotide ribosomal RNA is filed under the name Lemidia suturalis. Its description in RNAcentral is "partial 16S ribosomal RNA". The record is from RNAcentral. Lineage: Eukaryota; Metazoa; Arthropoda; Insecta; Coleoptera; Cleridae.
GAUUAAAUUAAAUAUUUAUUUAUAAUAAAAAUUCAAUUUUAGUUAAUUAAAGUAAUUUAUAUUUUAUUAUUUAUUAAGAAAAAAUAAUUUUUAUAAUAGUUUAAUGUAUUGAAAAAGAAUAUUUAAAAUUUUAAAAAAGAAGAAUUUAAAUUUCGUACCUUGUGCAUCAGGGUUGAUUAAUAAAAAAUUAAUUAUUUAAUAAUCUCGAAUUUAAAAGAGCUAAUUAAUUAUAAAUUUUAUUGUAAAAUAAAUAUUUAAAAUAAUUAAUUAGAAAUGAAACGUUAUUCGUUUUUAAAUAUAUCUAGUUUCUUAAUAAAUAAAUUUAAUUUAGUUAUUUAUAAUUAAAAUUUUAAAUUUUUAAUAUUUUAUUAUAAAUAAACAAUUUUUUUAGGGAUAAGCUUAAAAAAAUAUUUUUAUAAUUUAAUAAAUAAAUAAUAAAUUAUAGGAUUAUAAUUUUCUAUAAAUAAAAAAAUGUUAUAAUUAAUUAUUUUUAAAAUAAAAUUUUUAUUAAAUUUAAAUUUUUUAUUAAGAAAAAGUCUUUAUUAAAAAAAGUUUUGUUAUGAUGAUUAAAUUAGUAUAAAUUAAUGUAAAUAUAAAUUAUUAAUAAAGGUUAAUUUAAGGAACUCGGCAAAAAUAUUUUUCACCUGUUUAUUAAAAACAUGUCCUUUUGAUUAUAAUUUAAGGUCUAAUCUGCCCACUGAGGAAUUAAAUGGCCGCGGUAUUUUGACCGUGCAAAGGUAGCAUAAUAAUUAGUUUCUUAAUUAGAAGCUGGAAUGAAAGAUUGAAUGAGAAAAUAACUGUCUCAAAUUAAUUUAAUUAGAAUUUUAUUUUUAAGUUAAAAAGCUUAAAUAAAUUUAAAAGACGAGAAGACCCUAUAGAGUUUAAUUAAAUUUAUUAAUAAAUUUAUUUAGAUUAAAAAAUUUUUAUUAAUAAAUUUAAUUUUGUUGGGGUGACAAAAAAAUUAAAUUAACUUUUUUUAUAUUUA